AAAUUGAAGAGUUUGAUCAUGGCUCAGAUUGAACGCUGGCGGCAGGCCUAACACAUGCAAGUCGAACGGUAACAGGAAACAGCUUGCUGUUUCGCUGACGAGUGGCGGACGGGUGAGUAAUGUCUGGGAAACUGCCUGAUGGAGGGGGAUAACUACUGGAAACGGUAGCUAAUACCGCAUAACGUCGCAAGACCAAAGAGGGGGACCUU
Molecule: ribosomal RNA, 209 nt
Filed under: Escherichia coli
Lineage: Bacteria; Pseudomonadati; Pseudomonadota; Gammaproteobacteria; Enterobacterales; Enterobacteriaceae
Also listed under: 6 other names
Description: partial 16S ribosomal RNA
Rfam family: Bacterial small subunit ribosomal RNA
Source: RNAcentral